GGCUGAAACUCGCCUACAUGAAGCUGGAAUUGCUAGUAAUCACAGGUCAGCAUACUGUGGUGAAUACGUUCCCGGGCCUUGUACACACCGCCCGUCACACCAUGAGAGUUGAGAAUACCCGAAGCCCAUGUCAAAGUGGUCGAAGGUAGGCUUGAUGAUUGGGGUGAAGUCGUAACAAGGUACC
RNAcentral lists this ribosomal RNA (184 nucleotides) under uncultured bacterium. RNAcentral's name for it is "partial 16S ribosomal RNA". It matches the Rfam family "Bacterial small subunit ribosomal RNA", at positions 1303 to 1500 of the family's 1533-position model. The record is from RNAcentral.